Molecule: long non-coding RNA, 840 nt
Organism: Scylla paramamosain (green mud crab)
Lineage: Eukaryota; Metazoa; Arthropoda; Malacostraca; Decapoda; Portunidae
Exons: 4
Source: RefSeq, a predicted model, not a curated record
CACUCAUCGUUUUGGACACAGACGCAUAUUAGUAUAAACAAACUUCACUCGCUCAUGUACCUUGAUGAAAAACGAGUGCAUAUGAGUCACUAAUGUGUUAGCCAAUAUAUUAGCUAAGGAUUCGAAGAAAAGCCGAGGUAAUGAUGCAAGGGAGGCGACAGGAGGGUCAGAGUUUAGGUGGAAGUAGCAGCGUGCAGAAGGUCCUGGUGUUGCUCUGCGGUGUAGCUCACCUCGCGCGAAUAGACCUGCUGGAGACGAUAGUGUGGUGAAAGUAGCGGUGGUUUCUAGGAUGAAGUGCCUGGUAUGAUACGGUUAUGUGCGGGAAAUGCCCUGUGUGAUACGGAUACAUGCAGGAAGUCAGUGUGAUGCGGUUACAUGCGAGAAGACGUGAUGAAAGUGGCGGCGUGGUUAGUGUGUGCUAGUGUCCCAGUCCCUCGACACCACAGAAAAGUGUCGAAGUGUUACUUACGGUGGUGCACUCAUCGCUGCGAUGGAAUGGUGAGUACAAAAAUACAGCUCUUCAACACUUCGUGGGACAUCGCGGGAGCACCUCGUCGGAAAAGAUAAGGAAGAACGCUGUUUCCUAGGCCGAUAGGAUGAUAGGAUGCUAGGGUUCCAAUCCACAUUUCCUUCCAGGAAACAACUAACAGGCUUAGCCACAUUUCCUUCCAGGAACAACUAAUUGAGCAUACAUUUUUCAGAGUAAUGUCCUUUAAAGUACCACAGUGCCAAUGAGGUGGAAAAUGAUUGCAGUGUGGGGGUGGCGGUGGCCGUGGAGGUAUUUAAGCACAGGGAAUUGCAUGAACAUUACCAAGAUUACUUAAAACCAAGGCAGCAUUU